Molecule: ribosomal RNA, 496 nt
Filed under: uncultured bacterium
Lineage: Bacteria
Description: partial 16S ribosomal RNA
Rfam family: Bacterial small subunit ribosomal RNA
Source: RNAcentral
ACGAACGCUGGCGGCGUGCCUCAUACAUGCAAGUAGAACGCUGAAGAGAGGAGCUUGCUCUUCUUGGAUGAGUUGCGAACGGGUGAGUAACGCGUAGGUAACCUGCCUUGUAGCGGGGGAUAACUAUUGGAAACGAUAGCUAAUACCGCAUAACAAUGGAUGACACAUGUCAUUUAUUUGAAAGGGGCAAUUGCUCCACUACAAGAUGGGCCUGCGUUGUAUUAGCUAGUAGGUGAGGUAAUGGCUCACCUAGGCGACGAUACAUAGCCGACCUGAGAGGGUGAUCGGCCACACUGGGACUGAGACACGGCCCAGACUCCUACGGGAGGCAGCAGUAGGGAAUCUUCGGCAAUGGGGGCAACCCUGACCGAGCAACGCCGCGUGAGUGAAGAAGGUUUUCGGAUCGUAAAGCUCUGUUGUAAGUCAAGAACGGGUGUGAGAGUGGAAAGUUCACACUGUGACGGUAGCUUACCAGAAAGAGACGGCUAACUACGUG